Molecule: non-coding RNA, 255 nt
Filed under: Facklamia hominis
Lineage: Bacteria; Bacillati; Bacillota; Bacilli; Lactobacillales; Aerococcaceae
Description: T-box sequence
Rfam family: T-box leader
About the family: Uncharged tRNA acts as the effector for transcription antitermination of genes in the T-box leader family. T-boxes are found upstream of many aminoacyl-tRNA synthetase genes and some amino acid biosynthetic genes usually in Gram-positive bacteria.
Source: RNAcentral
AGAAACACGUUGAAGUGGAAAGUAAAUUGUUCGUGGAUUGAUAGAGAGCUUACGGUUGGUGGAAGUAAGUAGUCUAACCCAAUUGAAAAUGGCCACUGAGUGGCUAGUCUGAAUGCAUAGCAAUAAGACUAGACGGCGGCACCCGUUAGAUAGGCAGCAGUAUAACAAGACGGUAAGUCUUGCGUACUGGCUGAGGUAGCUUCAGUGAUGGAUCUACAAAAUAAGGUGGUAACACGAAUUCUUCUCGUCCUUUGU